AUGGAGUACCUUCAACGUCUGCUCGGGGCUCUGCAACAGGCAGUGAGUUUUGCUUCCUCCUUCACCACCUACCUCCUUGGAGAUGAUCCUCAUCCAGGAGCAGAAGAUUCAAGAGAUGCGAGGGAGAGAAGGCAUGAAGGCAGCUGUCCUGACUGUGAAGUUGAGACAACACGCAACGGCACAGAUAUUUCUCCAAGGGAACAUCUGGAGAUCUUUGAAGGUCCACUUACCACAAAGGAGAUCCCACCUGACUUGGAGAUCCAAGUAACACCAGAAGCAGCUGUCCAUGGAACUCAAUCUACCGAGUCCAUUCUUGAACUUGCCAAAUUGUCCUCCAGAUAUGAGGGAUGGGAAGAGUCAAAGGAGAAGCCCUCAGAGACAUGCCGGAUCCCAGCUGAUGCCCAAGAAGAAAUGGUCACAACAACAGUGACUGGCAACGUCAAAGAGACAGACCUGAAGGGGUCAGCCCUGACUCAGGGGAUCCAUCCAUGGGAUGCAGGAAGAACUAUCUGGGCAGAUGCACCUGAGAAAGAAGUACAAGCAGAGGUGGCAGAUACAAAGUGGGAACUAGCUGGACCAUUGGCUGGAGGCAAACAUCAUGGAGAACUGAGUGAGGAAGGAGGGACCAAUGUGGGUCAGGAAAGAGAGCUGAAGGAAAAUUUGUGGAAUGAGGAGGUUUGGAAAGAGACCUCAAACUUGGCACAGUUUUUAGGGGAACAGGAGAGAGAGCGAGGGAAGACAGAACAGCCUGGAAGAUUUCAUCAUGAGGAGGUAGGCAAAAUGAUGGAAGAUCAGCACUUGAAAUCUGAGAAAUACCAGGAAGAAGAAAUCAUUAAAGAGCAGCCUGACAUGGUGGUAGUGAAAGAAGACAUUCAGCAGGCCAUGCUGGAUAAUGUAGGGACUCUGGGAGACCAGGAGGAGGCACUAGAAGAGGAAAAGGAGACAGGGAGAAGUCAUCAGUGGGAGGCAAAAGAAAAACCAGAAAUAGGAGAGGCUAGCAAAGUGGAGGAAAGAGAAGUAGAGAAAGCAGUGUGCAACAAGGGGGGUCAGGAGGGAGCAGUAGAUUGGGUCCCAUUUGUAGAGCAAUGUCAUGGAGGGGCAGAGAAGGCAGUAUGGCUGGAGGGCGUUCAGCAUGAGGUGCUGGAAGUAGCAGACGAAAUGGUGGGGAGCCAAGAAUUAGAGUCAAAGAUGGAAGAAAAAGAACUAGUAGAGGCUACAAAGGGCCAGCAGGAGGAAUUAGAUAUGUUGGCAAUGAAAGAAGGAAGUGAGCAAGCAAUGCCAGGCAGAGCAGAGAUUCCAGAGGCGUUGGAGGGUGAAGGCAAGCCAUGGCAAAGGAGCCAUCAGCGGAAGACCGGCAGGGAAUUAGAAGAAGUAGGAGAGACCAGCAGAUGGAAGAGACAGCUGGAGGGCACUUCGUGGAAGGAAGGGGUUCAGGAAGAGGCAGCAGUUCGGGCACAGUUUACAGAAGAACUGCAUGGAAGUCUACAGAAGGCAGCAUGGACAGAGGGGCUGCAGAAUAAAGAACUAGAGCAGGCAGCCAAGGCAGUGGAGAGCCUGCAGUUCGAGGCUGAAGAGAAGCAAGGGGAAAUCGUGGAGGCAGAUGAAGGCUGGCAGGGACAGCCCAAUAUUGCAGCAGAGAAAGAAGGAUUUCAGCAAACAAGGCUAUGUGGAGCAGAGAUGGAGGAGGAGGUGGAGUUAGAAGAAGAAAAAGUGGUUGGGAGGGACCAUCAGUGGGAUGUCAAAGAUGCAGGAGGAACCACAGUCUGUCGGGAGAAAGGGCCAGAGGAAGCCACGUGGGACGGAGGGGUUCAGGGUGGCUCACAGCUUCUUGAGGAAGAGCAGAGAAGGCUAGAGGGGGCAGCAUGGAAUGGAGGACUUCAGCAUGGAGUGAUGGAGGGCUGGGACAGAAUGGUGGAGAGCAAGCAGUUGGAGCUGGAGGAAGCAGAGAAAGAAGAAGCCGAGGCUGAAAAGAUCUACCAGGAGGAGCCAGAUGUGAUUGUAGAGAAAGAAGGACUUCAGCAAGCAGGGUGGAGUGAGGCAGAGACUGAGGUGGGGUGGCAGGAGGACAUGGAAGGGGAACAUGAGAUUGCAAAAUGCCAUCAGUGGGAGCUUGAAGGAAAAGCAGAAGAGCCAGAAGGGAGCGAAGUGGGGCAGGAGCAGGAGGGAUUGUCAUCAAAUAUGGAGGUUCAGCAAGAGGCGCCGUACCAGUGGCAGUUUCUAGAGGAACAGCAGAGCAGGCUAGAGGGGGCAACAAGGUCUGAAGGAUUUCAGAGUGGAGAGCUGGAGGAGCCAACCAAGAUAACAGAGAACCCACAGUUGGAGGCUGAAAAGAGAGAGGAACAAGAAGCUGAGGCAGAAGACAAAGAAGGGGUGGCAGUGAAGGAGACAGUCCAGCAAGUGAUGUUUUCUGGGGCAAAGGCUGAAAGAGAACAAAAUGAGGUGGUAGAAGGAGAGGAAGUUGGAAGGAACCACCAGCAAGAGGUAGAGGAAAUGGAGUCAUUGGAAGAUCAGGACAGGAAGCCAAAAGAAGUAGCAGACCUCAGAGAAGAUGACCAGGGAGAAUUGGAAGGGGCAGAAAAACUAGAAGGACACCAAGGGGAGGAAAUAGAGGAAUCUGAGAGAAAUAGGGUAGACAUUAAAGGAGAAGAAGAGGAGAAGCAAACAGGAGAUGCCAUUCUGGAGACUGAACAAAGGGAAGAGUUGGAUAGGCUGGCAGAAGCUCAUGGCCUUGAUGAAGAAGCGCUGGGUGAAAUUACAAGAGACCCAGAAAAGGCUGAGAGGAGUCCACAACCUGAACCUGUGACAUACAGCCCUUCCCUUGAAAAAGACCACCUGGCAGAGACUAGAGUUUUCCCAACCAAGGUCGCACCCCUGGAUACAAGUGCUCAGAAGGAACGGGUGCUGCUGCGUCGUAAGAGCUCCAUCCGACGGGCACCUAGCAUGAAAAAAGUGAGAUCGCCCACUGAGAGCUCACCUCAGGAGAUGCAAAGCGUUGAGGACACUCCACCUCCACCUCCAGCACAAGCAACAAGCAGGCCAAUCCUGAGGCAUUCUGGGUUUGGACCUAUGCACCCCAACAUGAUGGCAGAACUGCAGAUACGCCUGCGCAAACCCCAGUAACCACAAAUUCAGAGGUGUUUCUGGGGUAAAGAACAUGCAAACUCUCUCUAUCUUGAGUCAGACUGCCUUGACAAAGAUUGUGGGAGCCAAGAGAAGCACAUAAAAUUUUCCACAGAUGGGAUGGAAGAGAUUCUAGUACAAAGUGUACUACCAUGACAUUGAUAUCAAAGGUGAUUUUGACAGGAGAGUUCUGUAGCAAUGCUAAGGCAUUGCUUUUCUAUAUACAUCUGGAAGUGUAAUUAAAACAUUCAUUCCAGAGCUUAAUAUCACUCUCUUACCUGUGAAAAUCCAGUAAUGUUUGCCUCAUGGGCAAGUUUCUGCUGUAUGUUUUCUCAAAAAGAAUUCUUAUUCGGCAAAGGUCUUCCUCUAUUCCUUUUAUUAUUUGAGCCUUUCUUGUCUUUCUCUUUUAAUAUAUCUGAUAAGUUGCUUUUUGUGGCAUUCUUGAUUUGUCCCUUAGUUACAUCAAUUACCUUUCUUUAUGCUGGGACCCCACAACGCUUUAAUUACUGCUUUCCUCCUUUUAGCUACAUCUAAAAAACAAUUGUACAUUUAUUUUAAUUAUCACACUUGCAAAUUUCUGGUCAGUUUUUUAAGUUCGAAUCCACACGACGGAAUGAGCGCCCGUCGCUUGUCCCAGCUCCCGCCAACCUAGCGGUUCAAAAGCAUGCAAAUGCAAGUAGAUAAAUAGGGACCACCUCGGUGGGAAGGUAACAGCGUUCCGUGUCUAAGUCACCACAAUUGCAAAUUUUUGGUCAGUUUUUUAAAAGGCAAUGAGCAGUUACACUAUCUGCAAAGCAAUUUUAAGAGACCGAAGGCUCCCGCAAGAAGGUUAGAAUGCAGGAAUCCAGAAAUGAAGUAAGUGAAGAGGAAGGCAUGGUUUACUUUACAAGAAAGGAAGCUACUAAUUAAAGGGAUGAGAGCCCUGAAAAAUCUUAGUAAUGCUUUGGAUAUGCUGGUAUUCCAGUUGUGUUUUAAGGCAACCUCUCCACCCCCAAAGAAACAACCUGCAAAUCGGUUCUAUGGCUGAUGGAGGGUUCUUUAUACUUGCAAGUUAACAGGUAUAGUGAAAGUAUUGUGUCUUUUUCUUAAUCGGCCUGCAUGAGUGAGAAAAAAGAUAGCAAAAGUGUUGAAGAAACAAAGAGGGAAAAUCACACGCAUAAUGAACACUUGCAGGGUGUCUGAGACAGUUUGGUCUCUUUGCUUGUUUGAACACAUUGUUUCCAGCAUGCCUCUCUCAACUAGGAAAUCCUGAAAUUUCCACGGUAACUUGCUAAAUAAUGUCCAAACCAAAGGAGCUUUUUCCCCCCUUGGAUUUCCAAGCACAGAUCUUUUCCUCAUUUCCCUCUGCCCCAUUUUUCAUUUCAUUCAUCCCCUGGCCAAACGGUUCCUAGUGAUAGUAUUUUAUUCUGUUGUAACAUUUGCAAAUCCAAGUUUAUAAGUCGAUUGAGCAAAAAGCACAUGAUAGAGCCUGGUAGUCAUUUUUAAAAUUAUUGUUAUUAAUUACAGUUCCUUAGCUACAAUGGCCAGUGUUAACUUUUCCAAGCUCAUGUGCUCAUUAAUAACAGCAAGAUAUGGACUGUAUUUCCUAAGCAGAAUGUAUGACCUAGAGAGGGCAAUUUAAGCCUUCCUGCCCUCAUUUUCAACUUGCCUCCUUUCUUCACAGCUUGGUGAAUUCCUGCUCUUUAACAAAGGGUUCCAUGUGAUAAUCGAACAGAGCAAAAAGUACAUGAUAGAGCUUGGUAGUCAUUUUUAAAAUUAUUAUUAAUUACAGUUCCCCAGCUACAAUGGCCAGUGUUAACUUUUCCAAGCUCAUGUGCUCAUUAAUAACAGCAAGAUAUGGACUGUAUUUCCUAAGCAGAAUGUAUGACCUAGAGAGGGCAAUUUAAGCCUUCCUGCCCUCAUUUUCAACUUGCCUCCUUUCUUCACAGCUUGGUGAAUUCCUGCUCUUUAACAAAGGGUUCCAUGUGAUAAUCAAUAGGUUAAACAUGCUUAUCUACUUAUGUGGAUGUCCCACUUCUUGCCUAAACAUUUAUUUUUUUAAGAGGCAAAUGUUUCAUGCUUACUAUAUAGUCUCUAUUAUAUCACACACACACCCGCCCCAGAUUUUCCACUCCACUGUUUUUGGACUAGGCUUGUGUGACCAGAACUCUCUGCUAAACAAAUGGGAUUGGUAGCAAUGUAUACAGUAUGCAUAUUACAUAUCUGACUUAGUGAUGUCAGUUUCUUAGGUGGCCACCAUAGCAGUGUUCUUAUACUAACCAUGUCACAUCCAGACACCAGUGAGCAGUCAUGUUCAUUUUUAUGGCAUGAAUGCUGCCUCUAUAGGUUUUCUGGCUAGCUAGCAACUUUACUGUGCGACCGCACAAGCCCUUUUGGUGUGGGCUAGUGUGGUCUAAAUAGGAGUGCUUGACUGGAGGGGAGGAGUGAUGUGCCAUUUGGCCCAAUCCACAUAUCCAAAUGCCAUAUUGACCUCAAGUGAGCCUUCGGCAACUUCUGUUGUCAAGCUCUUAUACCAACCAUGUCACAUCCAGACACCAGUGGGCAGUCAUGUUUAUUUUUAUGGCAUGAAUGCUGCCUCUGGAGGUUUUCUGGCCAGCUAGCAACUUUACUGUGCGACUGCACAAGCCCUUUUGGUGUGGGCUGGUGUGGUCUAAAUAGGAGUGCUUGACUUGAGGGGAGGAGUGAUGUGCCAUUUGGCCCAAUCCACAUAUCCAAAUGCCAUAUUGACCUCAAGUGAGCCUUCGGCAACUUCUGUUGUCAAGUGUCAGUUGAACACUGUGCCUUUCAGUUGAACAAAUAAGUACUGUAUGUAUAAAUGAGAUAUUUCAGAUAAGCAAUACUGAUCUUCAUAAAUAAGAAAUAUUCAUAAAUUACAAAUAACUGGCCUUCUUGCUAAAUUCCUUCCAGUCUGUAUCAGAGGUUCUUUAGUUAACAUCCAGAUGUCUUGUAGGUGGUGGCAAAGCAGAAUAACUUUAUGGUGUGACAUCCUAACUGGGGAAUGAUCUCCUUAGGGGCACUGGGUCAGUGCCCACUUUGUGAUAACAUUUUAUUUCUGUUAUGUCAAUUUUCUUGUUGACAUUUGCUACUUUUAGUUUGGCUUUCAGAUACUCUUGCCAUGCAGCCUGUGAUGUUAAAUUUAUUGCGAGUUUAAAAAUUGUUAUUUUAAUAUAAUCUGUUCUUGCUUUUUCUUGAAAGCUUCAGCUGAAAAUCAGCAUUGAAAUAUUCUCAAUAAAUGGAUAAAAUAAAAGCA
This is a long non-coding RNA of Pogona vitticeps (central bearded dragon), 6370 nucleotides long. Ensembl annotates it as trichohyalin-like. NCBI's taxonomy places the organism in Eukaryota, Metazoa, Chordata, Lepidosauria, Squamata, Agamidae. The record is from Ensembl.